AGCUCCACUAGCGUAUGUUAAAAUUGUUGCGGUUAAAACGUUCGAAGUUGAUCAUUGUCCAGUGCGAGUGUGACAUCAUCAAGUAAAUGAUUGUCAUCACUUUUUAGUUACUUGGACUAUAUGACUGAACAAUUAAUGAAUAGCAUUGAUGUCUUUCAUUAGACUAGAUGUCUAUUUAGUUCGGCUUACUUUUACCUUGAACAAAUUAAAGUGCUCAAAGCAGGCUUCAUAUGCUUGAAUAGUUUUGCAUGGAAUAAUGGAAAAAGACCUCGGUCUUAUUCGCUUUAUAUUGUAAUGAUAUUUAGUGAUUUUCUAUUGGUUUGAUAAGGAUCAAGAGGUAAUGAUUAAUAGAAGCAGUUGGGGGCAUUAGUAUUACGGCGCGAGAGGUGAAAUUCUUAGACCGUCGUAAGACUAACUAAAGCGAAAGCAUUUGCCAAGGAUGUUUUCA
RNAcentral lists this ribosomal RNA (448 nucleotides) under uncultured eukaryote. Its description in RNAcentral is "SSU rRNA". It matches the Rfam family "Eukaryotic small subunit ribosomal RNA", at positions 587 to 972 of the family's 1831-position model. The record is from RNAcentral.